Molecule: ribosomal RNA, 253 nt
Filed under: uncultured bacterium
Lineage: Bacteria
Description: partial 16S ribosomal RNA
Rfam family: Bacterial small subunit ribosomal RNA
Source: RNAcentral
UACGGAGGGUGCAAGCAUUAAUCGGAUUUAUUGGGCGUAAAGGACGCGUAGGCGGGGAUGAAAGUCGGAUGUGAAAUCCCGGGGCUCAACCUCGGAACAGCAUUCGAAACUUCAUAUCUAGAGGGUAGGCGGAGAAAAUGGAAUUCCACAUGUAGCGGUGAAAUGCGUAGAUAUGUGGAAGAACACCGGUGGCGAAGGCGAUUUUCUAGCUUAUACCUGACGCUGAGGCGUGAAAGUAAGGGGAUCAAACAGG